AGCCAGCGGCUCUCGCGACGAUUUGCUUAGAGCUUCGCCAGGCUCCAAUGGGGGUGGCUCUUAAAGGGCGAGGCACGGGGGUUGUCGUCUUUUGCUUUUUCUUGAGUGAACAGGGUAGGCACCUGAAGCUCUGCGACACCAGAGAGGAGCUUGGGGCUCGACGCGCACGUCCAGUGUUGCUUCAGAAGGCUCAAAGGAACGUCUCGGGCUAAGCGACUUCGCUGACGAAGUGUUUGGGCCUGUGUGCGUCACUGCUUCGAGGACUAGUGUUCAGAAUCCUGGCCAGUGAGCCCGGAUCAGGAGCCUGAACUAGCUGGUCGGGGACCCUCAUCCACAGAGGCGAAGGAGGCACGUUCCUUGUCGCUCUGUAUGGGUUCACUCUGGACUUGGAAUUGUGUGAGGUUUAAGAAAGCACGAGUGCGGUAUCUUGACUCCAUGUAUAUAGUUUGGUCUGAGCUGUCUAGUCUUGACUCCAUGUAUGUUUGGUCUGGAGCAAAAUUGGUAGCUGUAUAUAUUAGAACUUUUUUCUAUUUGAGCUAACUUUUUUUAGUUGGCCAUUUGGUCCCUCUCAUCUCAGGUUCAUUCAAAUAUUUGAACCCAGACCGUGUGCUACAUUCUGUUUUCCUGAGGAUACAGGAGUGCAUCAGACAGAGGUCUUUGCAUUGGCUGAAAGUUCCAGCCCUCUAACCAGCUGGUCUUUCUCGUGAUCAGCCCCUCCAGAGGUUUCCUUUGGGCCCCUCUCCUAAGUGCUUAAACUCAGUAUAAACUGCGGCCAUCUGAAGAGGCUCAUAUGAACAACAAAAGAAACUCAGAAAAUUCCAAGGAUUCAAGAGUUGUCACUGGAACUGAAAACUUCAUCGUAUACCACAGCUAGGGUAUAUAAAGACCCAAUACUUUAAAUUGUAAUUCUGAAAGGCUCUAAAUUCCUAACAGUUGUUAACACAUCAGCCUCUUAGCAGGAUGAAAGAUCCUACAUACCCAUUCUACAGACUCCGUCUUUCUACCAGGAUAAACAAAUCUCCAGGAAUUAUACUUUGGAUUUGCUUUAUCUUAGUCUCAUAACUUUAUUUUCUGCCCCAGAUUUGAUGAGUUUCUGGGUUGGUGAAUGCAUCCUUGAACUAGGAAGAUUCUGUACUCCAACUCUACAGGAAUAGAAAUUCCUGCACUCAGAGGACGCUCAUGAACCAGCUCUUGUGUACUUCUUCAUUUGGCUGUCCAUGUGCAUCUGUUGUAAUAUCCUUUAUAAUGAAUGGCUAAAUUGAAAUAAAGUUUCCCUGAAUUCUCUGUUCCACCACCACAGCAAAUUACCAAACGCAAGGAGGGUUAAAGGAUCCCUGAUUUUAUAGUCACUUAGUCAAAAACAGGUCACAAUCUGGAACUUGUGAUUGGCAUCAGAAGUGGGGAUAAUCUUAUGAGGCAGAGCCAUUAACUUGUGGGAUUUGACUCAAAUUCCAGGUUGAUAAUAUCAGAAGUUAAAAGUGAAUCAUAGGAUACCCAGCUCGUGUGCAGAAAGUUGAAGUGCUUGGUGUGGAAAAAACCCACCAUUUGACCAUGACCAAAGAAGUGUUCUGUGUUGAGUGUAGAAAAAUGGAAUUUGUAUUUCUUCAUUAAUAUAAAUUAAAUGAACAACAUUUUC
Molecule: long non-coding RNA, 1636 nt
Organism: Marmota flaviventris (yellow-bellied marmot)
Lineage: Eukaryota; Metazoa; Chordata; Mammalia; Rodentia; Sciuridae
Source: RefSeq, a predicted model, not a curated record